UACGUAGGGGGCGAGCGUUGUCCGGAUUUACUGGGCGUAAAGGGCACGCAGGCGGUCCUGUCAGUUUCUAGUGACAGGUCAGAGCUUAACUCUGACAGGCCUAGAAAGACGGCAGGACUUGAGUACUUCAGAGGGACGCGGAAUUCCUGGUGUAGCGGUGAAAUGCGCAGAUAUCAGGAGGAACACCAAUUGCGAAGGCAGCUCGCUGGGACGUUACUGACGCUGAGACGCGAAAGCGUGGGGAGCAAACAGG
Molecule: ribosomal RNA, 253 nt
Filed under: uncultured bacterium
Lineage: Bacteria
Description: partial 16S ribosomal RNA
Rfam family: Bacterial small subunit ribosomal RNA
Source: RNAcentral